GCCAGACUCCUACGGGAGGCAGCAGUGGGGGAUAUUGCACAAUGGGGGAAACCCUGAUGCAGCGACGCCGCGUGGGCGAAGAAGUAUUUCGGUAUGUAAAGCCCUAUCAGCAGGGAAGAAGAAAUGACGGUACCUGAGUAAGAAGCACCGGCUAAAUACGUGCCAGCAGCCGCGGUAAUACGUAUGGUGCAAGCGUUAUCCGGAUUUACUGGGUGUAAAGGGGGCGCAGACGGCGAUGCAAGCCAGGAGUGAAAGCCCGGGGCCCAACCCCGGGACUGCUCUUGGAACUGCGUGGCUGGAGUGCAGGAGGGGCAGGCGGAAUUCCUGGUGUAGCGGUGAAAUGCGUAGAUAUCAGGAGGAACACCAGUGGCGAAGGCGGCUUACUGGACUGUAACUGACGUUGAGGCGCGAAAGCGUGGGGAGCAAACAGGAUUAGAUACCCCUGUAAA
This 449-nucleotide ribosomal RNA is filed under the name uncultured bacterium. Its description in RNAcentral is "bacterial SSU rRNA". It matches the Rfam family "Bacterial small subunit ribosomal RNA", at positions 330 to 793 of the family's 1533-position model. The record is from RNAcentral.